This is a non-coding RNA of Arvicanthis niloticus (Nile rat), 65 nucleotides long. Lineage: Eukaryota; Metazoa; Chordata; Mammalia; Rodentia; Muridae. The record is from RefSeq and is a predicted model, not a curated record.
GAGAGAUAACUGCUCUUCUAGAAUUUUUUUCUAGCAGGUUUUCUGACUUUGGUCAGAAAAUUCAA